Molecule: ribosomal RNA, 301 nt
Filed under: uncultured bacterium
Lineage: Bacteria
Description: partial 16S ribosomal RNA
Rfam family: Bacterial small subunit ribosomal RNA
Source: RNAcentral
CAGCCGCCACGGUAAUACAGAGGGUGCGAGCGUUAAUCGGAUUUACUGGGCGUAAAGCGUGCGUAGGCGGCUUCUUAAGUCGGAUGUGAAAUCCCUGAGCUUAACUUAGGAAUUGCAUUCGAUACUGGGAAGCUAGAGUAUGGGAGAGGAUGGUAGAAUUCCAGGUGUAGCGGUGAAAUGCGUAGAGAUGUGGAGGAAUACCGAUGGCGAAGGCAGCCCCCUGGGCCAAUACUGACGCUCAUGCACGAAAGCGUGGGGAGCAAACAGGAUUAGAUACCCCCGUAGUCCCUGUCUCUUAUAC